Molecule: long non-coding RNA, 1646 nt
Organism: Heterocephalus glaber (naked mole-rat)
Lineage: Eukaryota; Metazoa; Chordata; Mammalia; Rodentia; Bathyergidae
Source: RefSeq, a predicted model, not a curated record
CCGCGGCCGGGCCCGCGCGUGGGACGGCGGAGCGCGCGGGAGGCCCGCAGGGUCCCGGCCCCGGCCCCGGUCCGGCCCCCUCGGCGUCCCCGAGCCACCUGGCCCCGUCCCCUGCCUCGGCACCUGGACGCGGCGCGCCAGCCUGCCAGCGCUCUUGUUUGUGUCCGAGCGCCUGGCCCGACGCACCUCUGCGCCCGCCGACUCCCACGACCCCUGUCUGCUGGCGGCCUCACUCCCCCUUCCGUUACUUUCUGCCUCCCUCUUCUGGAUAUGCACACGGCGCGAGUGCUUCCGAGACCAACUGCUACCAAGACCUUCCUGAGCCCACGCCGGCGGAAGGCCAGGCUGCACCGGUGAACUGAAGUUUCCGGGGAUGUGAGACUUUUUCAUCCUAGCACCUUGAGCCUAGCAUUGCACCAGGAAUCAUUCACACACUCUGGAUUCAGCCACCUCUGAAAAAGCCCCAUCUGGUUCUUCAUGAGGCUUUCGGGGGCAUCUAGACACAGCCACAAGACCCUUCAAAGACUCUGUCUCCAAACACAGUCACAUUCUGCUGUCAACUUGUGAGUUUUCGGGGACACAGCUCAGCCCACGACAGUGCCUCUCCUGAAGGACGUCUCUGCUUCCAGCCCAUCUUGACCUUUGUGGUCACCCUGGCCUUCUUGCACUUCAACGCACGCCGCCUCAGUACAUUGCCAGGUUCCCCUGCCAGGACAGCGCCUCCCCAGCACCCUCUCUGGCUCCACCACUCCUUCCUGUACUUACUCCCAAGCCACUUGCUCAGCGAGACCUUUGCCACCUUACCCAAAGUCACAUCCCUUCUCAUUGACACUUUGUGUCUCCAUUCCUUGCUGUGGUGGAAAGAAUGAUGGUCCCUGAAGAAGAACCACAAAUGUGUUACCUGAAAUGGCACAAGGGACCCUGCCGCUGUGCCUGCGUUAAGGGCCUCGAGAUGGAGAGGUGAUCCUGGGCCGGCUCCAGCGUCAUCGAAGGGGUCAGAGUCAGACAAGAGAUGUGAUGGCAGAUGCCGGGGCAGGGUGGGGGCCUGAUGGUAAGAUGCUGCUGUGGCAGCUUGAAAGGCAGAGGAAGGGGCCACGAGCCAAGGAGUGUAGACGUCUCUGGAAGCCAGAAAAGGCAAGAACUUAGACUCUUUCCCAGAAACCCCAGAAAAAAACCCAGCUGUAUUGACCUAUGCUGGACUUCUGACCUUUGGAACAACAUAAUAAACUCAUGUUGCUUAAGCCACUUAAAUCCAUGCUAAUUUUCCUAAUAAUAGGAAGCUAAUACCCUUCCUUGGUUUUUUUCUUAGCACUUACUCAUGUCUAAAUGACCUCCUACUUAUCUUGAAUAUGUCCAUGCCGCCCAUUAGAACAUGAGUUCCAUUGGCCAGGAUCUUGUCUGUUUUUUUCUCCAUUCUAACCCCAGCCCCUAUAACAGUGCCUGACGCAUAGUAGGUGCCUGAUGCAAAGUGUGUGCCAAACUAGUGGCUUCCCUGUUAAAUUGUAACUGCCAUGCAGACAAGGACCACAGUGUACCUGGGAAUACAGAGACUUCCCUUCAGCUGCAGAAGCUCCCCUCUCUGCAUGCCAGGCACAUAGUAAGUGCUCAAUAAAACCUAGCUGAAUUAAAACAGAAGUUGCACACAA